AGGUGACCUUGGACGCCACGGAACGGGUCCUGUGUAUGACAGGCUUACUAAGAGGUUGAAAAGAACUGCCCGUAAACCCACACAGAAUUACACCGAAGACAAUAAAACACAAGGGAUAAUGGAGAAAAGCCAGUGGGACCUCAAAAAGAUCCGUUUUCAACGGAGACGGCUUACCAGACUGGACGAUGUUGUAUAUACCUACAAGAUCACACUGAAUGCCCUUCUAAGGGAAUACAGUGACUCCAUGAAGAGGAAGAAGAAGACACCGUGUGGAUUUGGAGCGGUGGAAACAAAGACAUCAGAAGAGGCGAGUUUAUG
Long non-coding RNA from Hippoglossus stenolepis (Pacific halibut), 318 nucleotides. RefSeq lists it as uncharacterized. The record is from RefSeq and is a predicted model, not a curated record. The transcript is spliced from 3 exons. NCBI's taxonomy places the organism in Eukaryota, Metazoa, Chordata, Actinopteri, Pleuronectiformes, Pleuronectidae.